UACUCCAUCCUCUUUAAUUUUGCAAGAUCGUUCUCUCAUUUCAUCCGGAGUUCAUCUCAUCUGUCCCAAGUCGUCUUUGUUUUUCCACGCCCUCCCGCCCUUUUUCUUUGAUGAUUGGAUUUCAUCCAAGCGUAUUCAUUUCAUUGUGCUUCACCUAUCUUUUCUUCCGUGUCCUAUCCGGUGAUUCAUUGUGAAGAUUCUCACGAGUCGAGUUCAUCAUUUCUUCAUUUUGUUCUUUUUCGGUGAAUUUAAUUCAGAUAUCCGUGU
This 267-nucleotide long non-coding RNA is filed under the name Hordeum vulgare. RNAcentral's name for it is "long non-coding RNA (HVUL_LNC015828)". The record is from RNAcentral. Lineage: Eukaryota; Viridiplantae; Streptophyta; Magnoliopsida; Poales; Poaceae.